UGUCUCAGGGUGGCAGCUGAAGGAA
RNAcentral lists this non-coding RNA (25 nucleotides) under Mus musculus (house mouse). The record is from RNAcentral. Lineage: Eukaryota; Metazoa; Chordata; Mammalia; Rodentia; Muridae.